UACAGAGGUCUCAAGCGUUGUUCGGAAUUACUGGGCGUAAAGCGCGUGUAGGCUGCUUGGAAAGUCGGAUGUGAAAGCCCUGGGCUCAACCUAGGAAGUGCAUUCGAAACUUCUGAGCUGGAGUGCUGGAGAGGAAGGCGGAAUUCUCGGUGUAGAGGUGAAAUUCGUAGAUAUCGAGAGGAACACCGGUGGCGAAGGCGGCCUUCUGGACAGCCACUGACGCUGAGACGCGAAAGCGUGGGGAGCAAACAGG
RNAcentral lists this ribosomal RNA (253 nucleotides) under uncultured bacterium. RNAcentral's name for it is "partial 16S ribosomal RNA". It matches the Rfam family "Bacterial small subunit ribosomal RNA", at positions 524 to 776 of the family's 1533-position model. The record is from RNAcentral.